This 253-nucleotide ribosomal RNA is filed under the name uncultured bacterium. Its description in RNAcentral is "partial 16S ribosomal RNA". It matches the Rfam family "Bacterial small subunit ribosomal RNA", at positions 524 to 776 of the family's 1533-position model. The record is from RNAcentral.
GACAGAGGUCCCGAGCGUUAGACGGAAUCACUGGGCUUAAAGCGUGUGUAGGCGGAAGGGUAAGUACCUUGUGAAAUCCCACGGCUCAACCGUGGAACUGCUUGGUAUACUGCUUCUCUUGAGCCAACUAGGGGCGACCGGAACAAACGGUGGAGCGGUGAAAUGCGUAGAUAUCGUCUGGAACGCCGAUGGUGAAAACAGGUCGCUGGGGUUGUGCUGACGCUGAGACACGAAAGCCAGGGGAGCGAACGGG